RNAcentral lists this ribosomal RNA (460 nucleotides) under uncultured bacterium. Its description in RNAcentral is "partial 16S ribosomal RNA". It matches the Rfam family "Bacterial small subunit ribosomal RNA", at positions 338 to 795 of the family's 1533-position model. The record is from RNAcentral.
CCUACGGGUGACAGCAGUGAGGAAUAUUGGUCAAUGGGCGCGAGCCUGAACCAGCCAAGUAGCGUGAAGGAUGACUGCCCUACGGGUUGUAAGCUUCUUUUUAAAAGGAAUAAAGUGAGGCACGUGUUCCUUUUUGUAUGUCCUUUAUGAACAAGGCUCGGCUAACUCCGUGCCAGCAGCCGCGGUAAUACGGAGGAUCCGAGCGUUAUCCGGAUUUAUUGGGUUUAAAGGGAGCGUAGAUGGGUUGUUAAGUCAGUAGUGAAAGUUUGCGGCUCAACCGUAAAAUUGCAAUUGAUACUGGCAGUCUUGAGUGCAGUUGAGGUAGGCGGAAUUCGUGGUGUAGCGGUGAAAUGCUUAGAUAUCACGAAGAACUCCGAUUGCGAAGGCAGCUUACUAAACUGCCACUGACAUUGAUGCUCGAAAGUGUGGGUAGCAAACAGGAUUAGAUACCCGAGUAGUC